GCUGACCUCGAAUCAGGUGGGACUACCCGCUGAACUUAAG
Molecule: ribosomal RNA, 40 nt
Filed under: Hydnum sp. R-76
Lineage: Eukaryota; Fungi; Basidiomycota; Agaricomycetes; Cantharellales; Hydnaceae
Description: partial 28S ribosomal RNA
Source: RNAcentral